RNAcentral lists this microRNA precursor (67 nucleotides) under Bombyx mori (domestic silkworm). Its description in RNAcentral is "mir-2774 microRNA precursor family". It matches the Rfam family "mir-2774 microRNA precursor family". The record is from Rfam by way of RNAcentral. Lineage: Eukaryota; Metazoa; Arthropoda; Insecta; Lepidoptera; Bombycidae.
AUAGCAUCUGGAUCGUGAAUCUACCGAGUAUUUUCACCCGCACGGUGGAAGAUCUUCCUUUCGUCGU